CACCGACAGAUCAAGUGGUACCCACGAAUAUUGGGCCUUAAGAGUCCGUAGCUGGCCAGUUAAGUUCUCUGUGAAAUAUUCCGGCUUAACCGGAAUGCGUGCAGGGGGUACUGACAGGCUUGGGAGUGGGGGAGGCCGGGAGUACUUGCGGGGUAGGGGUAAAAUCCUGUAAUCCUGCAAGGACUACCAGUGGCGAAGGCGCCCGGCUAAAACACGUCCGACAGUGAGGGACGAAGGCUAGGAGAACGAA
Molecule: ribosomal RNA, 250 nt
Filed under: uncultured archaeon
Lineage: Archaea
Description: partial 16S ribosomal RNA
Rfam family: Archaeal small subunit ribosomal RNA
Source: RNAcentral